AUGGCUCAGGAUGAACGCUAGCUACAGGCUAACACAUGCAAGGUCGAGGGGCAGCAGGGCAAUAGCUUGCUAUUGCUGCUGGCGACCGGCGCACGGGUGAGUAACGCGUAUCCAACCUACCCCGCGGUCAGGGACAGCCCGGCGAAAGUCGGAUUAAUACCUGAUGCAGUCAGAAGAGGGCAUCUGAUUUUGACGAAAGAUUGAUCGCCUCGGGAUGGGGGAUGCGUAGGAUUAGGCAGGCGGCGGGGUAACGGCCCACCGCGCCGACGAUCCUUAGGGGUUCUGAGAGGAAGGUCCCCCACACUGGUACUGAGACACGGACCAGACUCCUACGGGAGGCAGCAGUGAGGAAUAUUGGUCAAUGGGCGCGAGCCUGAACCAGCCAAGUAGCGUGCAGGACGACGGCCCUAUGGGUUGUAAACUGCUUUUAUGCGGGGAUAAAGUGCGGCACGUGUGCCGUUUUGUAGGUACCGCAUGAAUAAGGACCGGCUAAUUCCGUGCCAGCCGCGGC
Molecule: ribosomal RNA, 511 nt
Filed under: uncultured bacterium
Lineage: Bacteria
Description: bacterial SSU rRNA
Rfam family: Bacterial small subunit ribosomal RNA
Source: RNAcentral